ACUGUUGUUUUUAUUAGGAAAAUCCUUUUGCAGAUUCGAUAUGAUAAUUUCUUCAUAUACAUAUCUUAUAUCUUAUAGUUAGGAUGCAUUGCCACAGUACAUUAUAGUAGGAAGACUAUUGCUAGAAUAAAUAGCUAGAAUAAUUAUUAUAAUAAUUAUAUUAAAAAUAAAAUAAUAAAAUGUCUAUACAUGAUCAUUAUGUUAAAAAAAGGUCCAAACAAAAAACAUGUUUACAAAAACAAUAAGAGAUUAAAAACAGUUACACUUUUCAAACCAAAGCCAUUAUUAAUGUAGAAGAAUUAUAAUAAUAAAAUACAAAUAUGUUAAUUUCACAGUUUGCGUCCUUAUUGGUUCUCAUGCUGGCUGGGAGGAACACUUAUUGGGGCCAUGCAGGGAGGGAAGGACAGAGAUGGAGGUUAGUAGAACUACACUACCCAGAAGUCAUUACACCCCUCAGAGGCCCGGUCCAGAAACAACUUUGAGGCACUUCCACGUUUUGUGUUUGGCAGAGCAGACAAAUGUAAACAAUAUGGCGGAAGUUCCCCAAAGCCUAAUAGUUAACCCUGUCCCCUAUCCAGUCCCUUCAGAUAUUUGAACUUCUAGGGGCAAGGAGUUGUUUCUGGGCUGAUAGUAUGAUCUGGGGUGAUGCAAAAAUUCCAAACUGUGUCCUUGGUAGGCUUGAGUUUAUAGAACAUGUUUCUGAUUAACUACACUCAAUGAACUACUCUUCCCAUAGUCCUUUGUGCCACUUCUCUUCUGCAACCCUCUUUCCAGCUACAUGACUUUCUGAUAACACACAUCAGUGAAAGGCUGUAGGGGAUUUUUCAGGUAGAAACUACGUAGAACAGACACAACUAUCUGGCUUGUAUAAUCUAUUCUAGAAUCAUAUCAGCUCUGUUCUGUGUGUUUCGAUCUUGGUUUUUAUUCAGCCAUACAGCAGCCUCUUUGUCCAUUCCUGAGUCAUUAUAGGAAUGCUCUCUGAACCCAUUCCCAAAAUCAGACUUUCAUCUAAAUCAUGUUAUUGAUAUAUUUGUGAGGAAAGUCUAGUUUUGUGUGUGGAUCUCAAGACAGGAUCCAGCACUCUAAACUACACACGCCAAAAAAGAAACCCUCUCAUUGGUUCAUUUCUGGAGGACUCUGCCCAUUUGGGCUUUGGCCAAUCCCCCAGGUGUUCAACCAAUGAGGUGAGAGAUCUUCCUCAGGGCCCACCCCUUCUCUGAUUAUAAUAAUGUUCUGUGGAAUCACAGUUGGCAGCUCUAUCCUUUCACUCCUAAGAGAACCACACUACCCACAAUCAUAUGAAGAGGGCAAAGGGGGCCAUGAUGUCACCAUUCCCUAACGUUCCUAAAUCCUCUAUAGACUCUAUAUCCACCUCCAGCUAUAUAACUCAAAUAGCUAUUUACAGCUAUAUACAGAUGUGGAGUGAAGGGGAGUGGUAAAACUAAUAGGAAGAGUACAACAGACAGGGUUACAGGGUGACACAGCAGUGCAGAAAAAGAGACAAUGUGCAAACCUCACGACACCUUACUCCCUAUAUAGUGCACUACUUUUGACCAGAAUCACAUCAGGGGAUAGGGUGCCGCAUGAGACACGCAGAUAAUGAGGUUUCUGUGGCACAGAGGACUGCUCUCUGUCUGCUUGGUAUGCCUGUGUAUUUAUGUGUGUGUGUACUGUGUACAGUACGUGUGUGUGUUUGUGUGUGCAUGAGCCUCAGCAGUCUGACUCAUGCAGAACGCGUGGGUCAUCUCCACAGGGAACCUCUGACAGACACUACAUAAAACCGCAUUAACACACACACUGAAUAUUGUGGGAGGAUGGGGUAAAGGUGUCUGUGCUGAUUCAAACUAACACUGUUGAGUGCACUGUACACACACACACACACACACACACACACACACACACACACACACACACACACACACACACACACACACACACACACACACACACACACACACACACACACACACACACACACACACACACACACACACACACACAACAUACUAGUUUAAUACUAUUUGAUGUAGAACGUUCCACAUAAUUCACUAAAAUGUGGGUCAAUCUGAUCUGAAUAAUAGAUGACUGUAUACGUUAUUAUAGUUCUAGUGUAAUACUGCACUAUAACACUGUUUUCUAAUCAGAUCCAGGACCUUUUCCUGAGCAUGUGAUCUGAACAGGAACAACCCUGAGCCUUAGCUAUAGCCUACAACUGGGGAUCAGCGUUUUCCUGGUCAGGGCAUGAGGUCAGGAAAACAUUUGGGCCAUAAGUAUAACACAGCACAUAGCAACACAACGUACCUUCUCAAUACCCUAUACACAGUGGCCACCGGGGAUGGGGACCUUUCUCUUUCUAAUUCAGUCUAUUCAAUUUGCCCAUUGUUUUUCAAUGACAGAUUUUUCCUUUCAUGAACAGAAUUUCAAUGAAUAUUCUGAAUUGAAAAUGAACUCCAAUCACUGGUUGAAACUCAAAUCAAUUCCGUGCUUCUUUAUUAGAGAGAGAUAUAAAGGGGUGUUUUCUACUUCUUUGGGUCCAACGGUGUUAUUCCAGAAAGACAGUUUAGAUCCUGGUUCCCUCACAUAGUGUGUUCUAAAUAGUACCCUAUAUAGUGAAUUACUAGUGAACUACUUUAGAUCAGAGCAUAAAGAAAGGUAGUGCACUAUAUAGGGAAUAGGGUGCCAUUUGGGAUGCCAGCUUAACCUUUUUGUCUGUUUCGUUACAAUACCGUGCUAUAUAACCAACCCACAGCCUUAUGGUGCUCUGUACACACACGUUUAAAUACUGUACACAUUACAAGUCACCUGGAAUAAUAACUACAGGAGAGCUGCUCCCUCCUUCCUCCACCUCUGUCCAAAAUAUAUUGGCCGUCAUUUAUUCUGCAAGAUAACGGAACAUGGUAAAACAAAAACACAACGUCAAUCAAAUGAUUGUGCUUUUAGCUCUCCUGUAUAGUAAGAAGUAGGAUGACUUUGUCCAUAAAUGCUGAUCUAAGAUCAGUUUUGCAUUCCCCCCUAAUGGUUAGUUAUGAUUUGAGGAGUAAGCUGAUCCUAGAUCUGCGGGUUAGGGGCAACUUCCACCUGGAGUAUAUAUUCUGUACUUUGACAAACAACCUUAUUGCUUUACAUAAACCAAUAGAGGUGUUUGGGACAAUAAUAUAAUGACAUUUACAUAAUAAUAUCACUCCUUUUUCAUGUACAUACUAUGUAGGAAUACACUUGGUGAAUGACCACUGGUCUCCAAAAAGCAUGGUGUGUGUGCAUUUAUAUUUGUGUGUGUAUGUGUGACAUUAAGUGCAAUGUGAUGGUAUUUGCAUGACAUUAAACUAAUCGAGUGUCUUCCCUCCAUCAAGUAGAGUCGUCACUCCAUCCUCUCUGUGCUUCUCUGUGUACGAAGAGGAUUCAGCUGCUUGGCAUGGGAAACACAAGGCCAAUAGAAAGGCUCCUCAAAUGGAACAACAAGGGCCAAAGCCAACCGACGCAAACAUUCCCAACGACACCAUCCGCAGUAUUCCCAGUCCAAAUCCCACAACAAACUUUUCUAAUACCUCUUCACAUGUUCCAAGUCCACUCCAUCGUCCAUCCAACCAAAGUCCAACUACCAAGUGUCCCAGGCAGACUUCUUAACAUUUCACUCCAACUACCAAGUGUCCCAGGCAGACUUCUUAACAUUUCACUCCAACUACCAAGUGUCCCAGGCAGACUUCUUAACAUUUCACUCCAACUACCAAGUGUCCCAGGCAGACUUCUUAACAUUUCACAGUCCAACUACCAAGUGUCCCAGGCAGACUUCUUAACAUUUCACUCCAACUACCAAGUGUCCCAGGCAGACUUCUUAACAUUUCAGUCCAACUACCAAGUGUCCCAGGCAGACUUCUUAACAUUUCAGUCCAACUACCAAGUGUCCCAGGCAGACUUCUUAACAUUUCAGUCCAACUACCAAGUGUCCCAGGCAGACUUCUUAACAUUUCAGUCCAACUACCAAGUGUCCCAGGCAGACUUCUUAACAUUUCAGUCCAACUACCAAGUGUCUCAGGCAGACUUCUUAACAUUUCAGUCCAACUACCAAGUGUCCCAGGCAGACUUCUUAACAUUUCAGUCC
Molecule: long non-coding RNA, 4099 nt
Organism: Oncorhynchus keta (chum salmon)
Lineage: Eukaryota; Metazoa; Chordata; Actinopteri; Salmoniformes; Salmonidae
Exons: 3
Source: RefSeq, a predicted model, not a curated record